Molecule: small RNA, 27 nt
Filed under: Bombyx mori (domestic silkworm)
Lineage: Eukaryota; Metazoa; Arthropoda; Insecta; Lepidoptera; Bombycidae
Description: ovarian small RNA-36877
Source: RNAcentral
UUAUGUAUUUUGUCUAUUCCUGGUGAU